Molecule: unclassified non-coding RNA, 223 nt
Filed under: Basidiomycota sp.
Lineage: Eukaryota; Fungi; Basidiomycota
Description: partial contains small subunit ribosomal RNA, internal transcribed spacer 1, and 5.8S ribosomal RNA
Rfam family: Eukaryotic small subunit ribosomal RNA (bases 1-47)
Source: RNAcentral
AAAGUCGUAACAAGGUUUCCGUAGGUGAACCUGCGGAAGGAUCAUUACCGAAUGACAUGCGCCUCUUUGUGGUGGACCAGUUUGCCUGCUGUUGGGCAGACAUCUGGUCUCCCAUGCCUUUUUUUCACCACACAAAACCUGUCGUCGUAUGGUCGUGGCAUCCCUUUGUGGGUCGCCCUUAAAUAUAUAAAUAUAACUUUCAACAACGGAUCUCUUGGCUCUC